This 98-nucleotide small RNA is filed under the name Sarcina ventriculi. Its description in RNAcentral is "Clostridium ventriculi Guanidine-I sequence". It matches the Rfam family "Guanidine-I riboswitch aptamer". Rfam says of the family: This family represents a conserved RNA structure found upstream of the ykkC and yxkD genes in Bacillus subtilis and related genes in other bacteria. The function of this family is unclear although it has been suggested that it may function to switch on efflux pumps and detoxification systems in response to harmful environmental molecules. The record is from Rfam by way of RNAcentral. Lineage: Bacteria; Bacillati; Bacillota; Clostridia; Eubacteriales; Clostridiaceae.
AUUUGAGUUUUCUAGGGUUCCGCAAAGAUGAAUCUUUGGUCAGGUCCGAGAGGAAACGCACAUUUAUGUGUACACGGAGGGAGAAAAGCCUGGGAGAU